UACGUAGGGGGCAAGCGUUGUCCGGAUUUAUUGGGCGUAAAGAGCGUGUAGGCGGUUUGGUAGGUCCGCUGUGAAAACUCGAGGCUCAACCUCGAGACGCCGGUGGAAACCAUCAGGCUAGAGUCCGGAAGAGGAGAGUGGAAUUCCUGGCGUAGCGGUGAAAUGCGCAGAUAUCAGGAAGAACACCCGUGGCUAAGGCGGCUCUCUAGUACGGUACUGACGCUGAGACGCGAAAGCGUGGGGAGCGAACAGG
RNAcentral lists this ribosomal RNA (253 nucleotides) under uncultured bacterium. RNAcentral describes it as "partial 16S ribosomal RNA". It matches the Rfam family "Bacterial small subunit ribosomal RNA", at positions 524 to 776 of the family's 1533-position model. The record is from RNAcentral.